RNAcentral lists this transfer RNA (95 nucleotides) under Pseudomonas sp. NBRC 100443. Its description in RNAcentral is "tRNA-Arg". The record is from RNAcentral. Lineage: Bacteria; Pseudomonadati; Pseudomonadota; Gammaproteobacteria; Pseudomonadales; Pseudomonadaceae.
CCAUCAACACCCUGCUGUUCCUCGAAGACCUCGGCUUCUGCCCGAAGGGCGAGGGUGGGCGCUUCGUCGAGGGCGGGCGCAUCGCCCCUGGCGGC